GUGACUGUUAUACCAGCUCUAUCAGAACUAGAAGACAUGGGGAGGGGACUGUUAUACCAGCUCUAUCAGAACUAGAAGACAUGGGGAGGGGACUGUUAUACCAGCUCUAUCAGAACUAGAAGACAUGGGGAGGUGACUGUUAUACCAGCUCUAUCAGAACUAGAAGACAUGGGGAGGGGACUGUUAUACCAGCUCUAUCAGAACUAGAAGACAUGGGGAGGUGACUGUUAUACCAGCUCUAUCAGAACUAGAAGACAUGGGGAGGGGACUGUUAUACCAGCUCUAUCAGAACUAGAAGACAUGGGGAGGGGACUGUUAUACCAGCUCUAUCAGAACUAGAAGACAUGGGGAGGUGACUGUUAUACCAGCUCUAUCAGAACUAGAAGACAUGGGGAGGGGACUGUUAUACCAGCUCUAUCAGAACUAGAAGACAUGGGGAGGGGACUGUUAUACCAGCUCUAUCAGAACUAGAAGACAUGGGGAGGUGACUGUUAUACCAGCUCUAUCAGAACUAGAAGACAUGGGGAGGGGACUGUUAUACCAGCUCUAUCAGAACUAGAAGACAUGGGGAGGGGACUGUUAUACCAGC
Oncorhynchus masou masou (cherry salmon) is the source of this 589-nucleotide long non-coding RNA. RefSeq lists it as uncharacterized. The transcript is spliced from 5 exons. NCBI's taxonomy places the organism in Eukaryota, Metazoa, Chordata, Actinopteri, Salmoniformes, Salmonidae. The record is from RefSeq and is a predicted model, not a curated record.